RNAcentral lists this long non-coding RNA (559 nucleotides) under Salvia miltiorrhiza (redroot sage). RNAcentral's name for it is "long non-coding RNA (SMIL_LNC007499)". The record is from RNAcentral. Lineage: Eukaryota; Viridiplantae; Streptophyta; Magnoliopsida; Lamiales; Lamiaceae.
UGUUUUCUAUUGAUAUUUCAAAAAAGGUAAAAACCUUGUGGGCAUCUCAAUAUACGGUGCAGAUCACUGCCUCAAGGUACCGCUUUUCCUUUGCUUUUUCGAUUAAUUAGACGGAAUCGGCUACAUUUCUUUGUUUGGGUUUCGUUAUUGAAAAAUUGAAAUCGACACAUAUUAUUAGGGUUAUUUUCUCCCUUUCCGCUCUGCAUCGAUUCAAAUUCCAGAUUUUUAUUAAUGAAGAAGCCCAUGUUUGUUGUUUUUCAUUGUUUCUAUAAUAAUACAAAGGAAGCAAGUGUGGGUUGAGUAUGAGAGGUUUUUGUUUAAUGAAAUUGUUGUUGCUAGAGCUUCAGCUUCAAUUGUUGCUGCAGAGCCCACAAACUCAAAGACAAACAUUUAUUUUUUUAUUUUCCUUUUUCUUUUGGAUGGUUAAUGAUAAUGCUGUGAUUUUGGCAAUUGAUCUUUUCGUUUUUAAUUUUAUUUUUUAAUGGCAGAAGGAUGUCAGAUUGCUUUCUCUGAUUUAGUUUUGGAGGAAUUGUCAUUUAAACCAAAGGGAUAUAAUUAC